RNAcentral lists this ribosomal RNA (489 nucleotides) under uncultured bacterium. RNAcentral's name for it is "partial 16S ribosomal RNA". It matches the Rfam family "Bacterial small subunit ribosomal RNA", at positions 30 to 507 of the family's 1533-position model. The record is from RNAcentral.
UUGAACGCUGGCGGCAGGCCUAACACAUGCAAGUCGAACGGUAACAGGAAGCAGCUUGCUGCUUUGCUGACGAGUGGCGGACGGGUGAGUAAUGUCUGGGAAACUGCCCGAUGGAGGGGGAUAACUACUGGAAACGGUAGCUAAUACCGCAUAACGUCGCAAGACCAAAGAGGGGGACCUUAGGGCCUCUUGCCAUCGGAUGUGCCCAGAUGGGAUUAGCUAGUAGGUGGGGUAACGGCUCACCUAGGCGACGAUCCCUAGCUGGUCUGAGAGGAUGACCAGCCACAAUGGAACUGAGACACGGUCCAGACUCCUACGGGAGGCAGCAGUGGGGAAUAUUGCACAAUGGGCUCAAGCCUGAUGCAGCCAUGCCGCGUGUAUGAAGAAGGCCUUCGGGUUGUAAAGUACUUUCAGCGGGGAGGAAGGGAGUAAAGUUAAUACCUUUGCUCAUUGACGUUACCCGCAGAAGAAGCACCGGCUAACUCCGUG